This 572-nucleotide long non-coding RNA is filed under the name Monodelphis domestica (gray short-tailed opossum). Its description in RNAcentral is "lncRNA (ENSMODG00000039497.1)". The record is from RNAcentral. Lineage: Eukaryota; Metazoa; Chordata; Mammalia; Didelphimorphia; Didelphidae.
ACCAGGAAGCGCUGUGGAAUCCAAGAGGACCACAGGGAUGUGUGGGGAGCUGGGGAGCCGGGCAGAAGUGGACAUUGGAAGAGACUGAACUUGGGUACCCAACUGUUGAGCGUUAACCACCAGACGGCGCUGUCUCCUUCCUUACAAGCUUUAUAUCACCAGGUUGAGGACAUUGAGGGGGCUUCUCUUUCCCCGUCUCGACGGUAUUCUUGGAGAUACUCCGGCUGGGAUGGAUUUCACCCCUUGUUCUUGUCCUACCGCAGGGGAUCUCCAUCUGUUGCAACCUGUUGAGACCUCUGGCGGUGAUGUUCAGAAAGGAGUCUCCACCCAAAGUCCUAAGCUCUACUACCGGCUCCCUCAUUGAUUUUUCUGCGUGACCUGAAACAAAUCAUGUAACCACUCCCUGCCUUAGUUUCCUUAUUUGUGAAAUAUAUCUUUCUGGUUAAGGCAACAAUCCACUGGCGACUUUCCAUAUUAAGGAUGCUGUAAGGACAAAUUAGCUCAAGUAUUUUAAAAUGAAAGGGUAGCAGCAGACGAAUAAAGAUAGAAUAGGUUUUGUGCUUAUAUAGCCU